UCGGCUCUCCCAUUGAACAGUUGAUGUUCCCCCUGUCGGGGUGCUUAUGACGUCAUAAGGACGGUCAGUUUGCAAGACGGUCACUUUGCAAGACGGUCAGUUUGUUGGACGGUCAGUUUUCAGGACGGUCACUUUGCAGGUCGGUCAGUUUCCUGGUCGGUCAGUUUGUAACCCCCCACUCAAAGACCUUAAAGAUGCAUCUCUUUAAGGUCUUUGCCCCCACUGUGUGAGACAUGUUCUUAUUUUUUGUAGGUUAUGUUGUAAUUUUAGCGGAAAAUAAUGGUUGUGUUUACUAAUAAUCAAUAAUUAUUAGUUUGCAAGUUAUAUAAAUAUUUUAGCUACAAAAGCCAAAGUUUCAAAAUAAAAUUAUUUUUCAAAAUCGAUUCGAGCUAGACUAUAUUGCUGUAUGAUAACAUAAAAUAAUGAUGAAGAUUGAUGUUAUUCUUCACUGUACCGUACCAGGUUCCAGAAAACAUGCAGUCUGUAAUCUACCCCCAUGUCAGUGUAGAGAGGCCUGUUCAUGAAGACACAAAAUUAUUCGACGACACCAAAACAUAUUACACAGUGUAGAUGGACGGAUAGAAAGCGUGAACAUCAAAAGCCAUCGUGUGUGUUACCCAGUUUCCAUUCUGUAUCUAACAAUAGGAACCAAGCAUCCAACAUCAUAACUUUAUUAUUAUAUAGUCCAGGUAAUGAAUGCUCAAAAGAGGGUAUAGAGAGAAAAGUUUGGAAGACUAUAUUUGACCCCGCAAUUUUGUUUUGGGUAUUAAGGAAGUAAAAAUAUCCCCACCCCUACCCAUUGUGCUAAGGGGGUGGGGUGGUUCAAAGGUACCAUUUUUUGGUUUCUCGCAUAUAACUCGAAAACUAUGUAUCUUACGGACAUAACUGUUGCAUACAAAAGUAAAGCUUAUAUAAUUUCCUACAAUAUUCAUCUCACAACUUUUCUAGUUUUCGAGAUAUCCACUCUUGAAUGUGUGACAUUUUUGAAAAAAACACGUUCGCCUCCAAUUUUUUUCUAUUUCUACUCUUAUAACUUUUUAAAAAUUGAUGGGAAAAAUCAAUGCAGAUUAUGAGCUCAUAGAGCCUCUUUCAGGGCUUAUAACUCUCCAACAAUGCAUCUUAAAAAUCAAUGCUUAUCGUAGGUUUGUAGAGCAUUAAAUUCUCUUUGAAAUGGUGUAUUAUUUCACUAUUCAAAGUUUCUGUUUCAUUGUUAUAGCAACUUUAAUGUAGGGGAUGGAAUUUCCAAUGCUGCAACAAUUAUUCAUUUGGCAAUUAAAUUUGAAGCGGGUGUCUGUGACACAAUUUUUGACGUUGCAGCUUAAUUUUGACUAGUUAGUAGAUUAACAUAGCAAAAGUGCACAUCUUUAUCCCCUCUGUUGAAGGUUUGGAACCGCUGAGUUGACACUAGUUGCAAUAUUGAAAAUGUUGCUACAUUGCACUAUCAUUCUUGAUCAUUUGUUACAUCACACAACUAUUAUAUGAAUACUUUAUACUGUUGUAACCAAUUUGAAUCAAUUGACAAUUCCUUUUUUACUGCUUAUUCAAAUUUACUAUUUGUUAUUUUUGAUUUUCAUUAAACGUCCUUUUUCCUACUUAGUGCAGUCAUCAUAACUUUUAAGACCAUUUGUAAAGUGCCACUUAUAUCAAUAAAUGCAAUCAUUUGUUACUGUUACAUUGUCUUACAAUUUCUUGGCGUCUACCUUGCUACCAGGUAUUUAGUAGUUUUACUCAUAAGUUUUAUGUGAGUUUGGGUAAAGGUAUUGACAAACAACAUGAACAACAUCAGCAAUCUAUAAAUUAUAUUUAUUAUUUAACAUACAUUUCAUUCAACUUAGUAUACAGUCCACUUGAAGUCCCUCAUACCAAACACAUCAGAUAUAAAGUUUUCGAGUUAUAUGUGAGAAACCAAAAAAUGUUACCUUUGAACCACCCCCUCCCCCUUAGCACAAGGGGUUGGGGGGGGACUUUUGAUAUGUUUACCCCCUUUCUUACCCUAAACAGAACUGCGGGGUCAAAAAUUGUCUUCCAAACUUUUCCCUCUAUAACCUUUCCUUGACUGCACUGUAUAUCAUCUAGUUAAUUUUGAUAUCACAUUAAUUAAAAAGCUUCCCUCAUAGUAUAAUUUUUCAAUAUUUUACUAAUUGUAUAAUACACAAGAAAUCAAUAUAUUGCCGAGGUUGUCAAAGAUGUGAAUUUUCAAUGUUUUUUGAUGUAAAUUAUCGCAAAAAACUAAUACCAUGGUUAGCUAUGCAUAAAGAGGCAUGAUAGCAUGAUUGUCAUUCUUUACUGAAUCGAAAUAAACUGUUAUAACUUUUUCUACUAUUAAUUUGGUUUUCAAUAAACUAGUUAUGAUCAGAUGCCUCAUUACUAAAUGCAAAAUUCAUGUCGGUUAUGUAGCUUUUCUGC
Molecule: long non-coding RNA, 2406 nt
Filed under: Nilaparvata lugens (brown planthopper)
Lineage: Eukaryota; Metazoa; Arthropoda; Insecta; Hemiptera; Delphacidae
Description: uncharacterized LOC120354400
Source: RNAcentral